UUGGGCUGGACGCGGUACGGCUGCGAGAGAGCGGGCGCAUCCCGCCCCUCUGCUCGGCCCUGAUGGGGUACAGAGGCCACGAAGAUGAGGAUGAUGUGGAGCAUCUCUGCUUUGUGAGGAAAGGCAGCGGGAGCUGGGCCUGUUGAGUCGGGAGAAGACUGAGAGGGGAUCUCAUUAAUGCAAAUAAAUAUCUCCAAGGAAGAAGAACUUCUUCACGUUGAGGGGUUGCAGAGUUCUGGAACCGCUGCCCGGGUAGGCAAGGAGGGUCUUCCUCUGGAGACAUUCAAACCCACUUGGAUGCAUUCCUGUGUCACCUGCUCCAGGUGACCGUGCCUUAGUGGCGGAGGGGCUGGAGGGGAUGACCGCCGAAGGGGAAUAAUUCUGUGAUUCUGCGAAACAAAACCGGCUCCAGUGGCAUUCCUGGAGGAGGCGCCCUGGAGGCAGAGGGUGUCGCUGCUCUCUCCGCGGCAGCUGCUGUAACCUCUGAUUUCAAGUAGCACCGAGUAUUUGAUGCAUUUCUCCUCUUGUUCUUCCCCGUCCUUUCCUGACCAAACUGCCUUUCCCCUUCCUUUCCUGACCAAACUGCCUGAGCUCUGUCUGGCUGCUCUUUCCCCCCAGCGGGAUUGGGGAGAGAAUCAGCAAAAUGAGAAAAGUUGUUUAUUGAGAUAAAGACUAAUUUGUCUAGUAAGUUAUUAGUAUUGGCUAUUAAACUAUGGGGAAUGCAAAAGCUGCACACGCAAGAAAGCAAAGCAAGAAAUUAAUGCACUGCUUCCCGUGACCAGGCAGAUGUUCAGCCAUCUCCAGAAUGGGGCUCCAUCGUGUAUAACAGUGACUUGGGGAGACAAAUGCCAUCACUGUGAAUGUUCCCCCUUUUGUCUUCCCCACAGCUUAUCAUCCUGAUAAUGAUGCUAUAAGGUGUGGAAUAUAAUCAGCACUGUGUUCAGCAGAAAUCCAAAGCAAAACUCCAUACUAGCUAAUUAGCUUUGCCUCAGCCAAAAACCAGCACACAGAAACAUCAGUCCAGCAUUGCCCUGAGGACACAACAAGUAGGUACAUUCACAGUUCAGUUAUUGACUAUUAGGCACAGAAAGCAAGAGAUGUAUCCUUUACCUCUUUUCCAAAGUGUUAACAAAGAACAGGAUGCUCCAUGAUAGCUCCAGAAGUAUAAGGGAAAGGCAUUCAACCAGGUAUAGAAAGAACAAUAUUGGAAGAAGACUUUGGAAUCCAUUCUUGCUAAGAGCAGCAGCAGUAGUAUUUAUAUAUAUUGGUGCCUCACUCAUGACCAAACUCCACUAAGUGGUAUUUGACAGUGACUUUUGCUCCACUCCCUUUACUGCUGUAAUGCUUGAGGUGAUGGGUGGAUCACUUUAACACUGACUUACACAAGUGUUUUGUUAGGGAAAGUGAAGUCCACUAACAGUUCUAUUGAUAUGUCUAGACAGAGGAACAGCUGGAAGGGUCUAUGUUUCAAAGUGAUCCAUCCCAUUGCUGAUCCAAAAUCUCAAUUUUUAGCAGAAAGAGUAGAUGUAAGAAGUUCUUUAAAGUUGUACCAUCUGGAUUGUUUUAGGUGUUGCUGCUACUGUUUUGCCCUGCUUUGCUACAUUCACAAACUGCCUCCAUGUCCUGGUCCCCAUCUCCCAUGUGGAUUUGGUACCAGGAGCUCCUACAAUUAAUAAAGAGGAAAAAACGUGGCUUAGAAAAUGCAUUUUGACAUCUCAUGCUAUCUAUGGUACUUUUAGCCACAUAAUGGUUUCUGAAAAAUACCCAACCUGAUACAAUGAAGAAGCAAAUGUGUCAAAUGUCCCAAGUUACAAAUUACUCUUGGAUAAUA
This is a long non-coding RNA of Hirundo rustica (Barn swallow), 1831 nucleotides long. RefSeq lists it as uncharacterized. The record is from RefSeq and is a predicted model, not a curated record. NCBI's taxonomy places the organism in Eukaryota, Metazoa, Chordata, Aves, Passeriformes, Hirundinidae. The transcript is spliced from 2 exons.